UCCGGCUUAUCACCGGCAGUUCCCCUAAAGUGCCCACCAUUACGUGCUGGCGACCAAGGGUGUGGGUUGCGCUCGUUGCCGGACUUAACCGAACAUCUCACGACACGAGCUGACGACAGCCAUGCAGCACCUGUCCACCUGUCCCUUGCGGGAAAGACCUGUCUCCAGGCCGGUCAGGCGAUGUCAAGGGUUGGUAAGGUGGGGAUGACGUUGACGUCA
This 219-nucleotide unclassified non-coding RNA is filed under the name uncultured Paracoccaceae bacterium. Its description in RNAcentral is "uncultured Rhodobacteraceae bacterium contains 16S-23S intergenic spacer region". The record is from RNAcentral. Lineage: Bacteria; Pseudomonadati; Pseudomonadota; Alphaproteobacteria; Rhodobacterales; Paracoccaceae.